Syngnathus typhle (broad-nosed pipefish) is the source of this 2804-nucleotide long non-coding RNA. RefSeq lists it as uncharacterized. The transcript has 2 exons. The record is from RefSeq and is a predicted model, not a curated record. NCBI's taxonomy places the organism in Eukaryota, Metazoa, Chordata, Actinopteri, Syngnathiformes, Syngnathidae.
UCCAUCAGAGCGGCUGUGAGAACUGGGACUUUUCCAUCACCUCCCCCACAUUCUCCCAGCUCCGCUUUUGGGAUGCAUCGCCACGGUUUUAUCUGGGGGUUGAUAAAGAAGGAGGCUCGACGGAGGCAGGCUCGCGUUUCACCGUGCCAAAGCGGAAUCAUGUCAAUAUCGGGAUCGUUAUUGCUUGUGAACCAUUUGUCGCUCUGGAGGGAAAAAAAAAACCAAACGCUCCCACAGGAAGCUAAAGCCAAGUUUUUCCCAAAGAGUGUAAGUAAAGAUAGCAAAAUGAAAACAGCCAUUGGCAUCUUUUGAUGAGACGUAAAAGUCGAAGUGAAUUAAAAAAUUAAUUGGCCGUUUAAUCUCUUGAAAUAUAAAUCAUGACGCCAGCUAGCAAACAAGACUUCUUUAAUCCAUUUCAUAAUGAAUUGAAGCCACUUACCCGAGAUCUGUGUAAGGGAUUGUCAAAAUUGGUCCCCUCUGGCGCGAGCAGCAACCAUCCUCCAUAAAUAGGCUUCGCCUGUUGAUAAGAAGAUGCGAUUAUAAACAUCAACUGUUUGCGAGGGGAAAAGGGAAAGUUAUAAAUUUGCAAUUUCAACUCAACAAAGGCGGGCUGGCCUGGCCUGGCCUGGCAUGCUUUCUUAAAUAGUUGUGCCACAUACUUGAACUCCUGCCACUUGAGUAGUCAGCAGUUAUUUCGAGUCAAACAAGCCCGGCCUAACCACAGCUGGCUGGCUUGAUGUGUGCAUGGUGAGAAAUGCCGCGAGGAAUUUUGCCAGACGUUGCCGCUCAGAUGAUAGGAUGUAAAAUAAUAAAUUAAAUGAAUAAUCUACAGAACAGUGGGCUAGAAAUUAAGCUCUGACAUUUACGGCCAGCCGGCCGGCUCCUCCGUCGGGGGGUUUUGAUUACAGUCAUAACUUCAUCCCACGCAAAGCCACAUCUAAUCCACCUUAAAAUCCGCUUUUGUUUUGAUUGCAAAAGGUACGGCGGGACAGAGCUCAGCUACGGUCGCUCUGUAAACAAAAUGAAAGAACCGCAAUUUUCCAAUCUGAACUUUGCGGCCAGGCUAUCUGAUAACGGGCCCGCCUGCAGGAAGGAAUUGCGCUGAUAGCCUGUAAAAAUAUGCCCGAAACCCAAAAGGAGCUGUCGUCUUUCCUCACGUGACCUGACAGCAGGCCCCGUUUGAAAAAUACACUCUGAUCAUUUCAGGUCAAGCUUUCCUCUUCAUCGCUUUGGUGGUUAAACGGCGCGUGUCGCCACAGCCCCCGACCUCCUCGUUCCACGAAUUAGAACGUGGCCUAAUGUCAGUUCCAAUUGUUUCUUAUGGCAAAAAAAAAAAAAAAGAUUUCUAAAACGUUAACCGGCUGGGCUAGAGACAUGAACCGAAUGACACCGGCGCGCCUCCAAGUGCGCCGCUUUCGGAAAACUUUACAACUAAGACACAACUGGCUGGGUUGGAGGUUGACAGCCGGUGUUCCGCAGGGAAAGACGAGCUAUUUUCCAUCAUAUUUGAAGGAAAGUGCGCUGUUACGUUUCCAGAGACAUCACUCUCUGACCAGCUGGGAAAUACUGUUGGAAUAUGACCAUUUGUAAACAAUCAACCAAAUGGAACAUACAGUCAUGCGAUUUGCGGGGAGCAUAUCCACGUAAGUGUUUGGACAGUGUGACAAAUAGAUGAUGAAGCUGGUGAUUGUUUGAGUCGAAAGCUUUGGGAGUUCAGCGUGACAUUAAGGUCAAUAAGCAUCCCUGGGUUGAUGACUAAUUGAAUUCAGAGAAACAAACCUUUGCACUUUUAGCCUAUGUUGACACAUGAAGCAAAAACACACCUAAGCGCAAGGCCAUUCAUUUUCAUGAAACACUGCAGUGACCAAAUACUCACCUGGUUGAGGUCUUCGUCGUUGAGCAGGUGAGAUUCUCGAGGCUUAAAACAAUUUUGACAUUUGCUCUUAUUAAAAAUGUUGGCUUGGAAUUUCCUACAGGGGUUCUCUUUGACUGACAUGGUGGGUCGAGGAUAGGACGGGAUGCGUGUUCUCUUUCAAAUUUAAAAAAACAAAUUACUUUGGGAACAAAUGAUACGAAAUGUCUCUUUAGGUCACGUCUAUGCUGGUCAUCGUGCUCCAGGGGGGCUAACGUUCACCCGUUAGAACUUCUCGCUGUCUCUGGAGCCCACCAAGAAGUUCUGGAUGAUGUCGACUAAUGGAGACAGGAGUGCGCAAUGUUUGGGUCGAACAUGCGUUGCUCAACCAAGCGUCGACGAGCGGUGGACGACACUGCGGUGGUCCUGGCGGGUCCCGUCAGCAGCCUCCAUCGCGGGGGGAACGACGCCAACUUACCGAAGGGAGUCCAAUCCGCCUCCUCCACCUCCGGACUGCUAUUUAACGAGCGUUCAUACGCGAUUGGGUUCCAGUCCGGACAUAAUUCACGUUGAAAAACACGCCAUGGACGCUGCUCAAUUCGUGCAGCUGAGUGAAUGUUUUCGUCUAAAUGCUGCUAGUGGCCGGACAUCAACUGUCUGCAAAGAAGGGCGGGGCUAAGUUGGUGAUUGACUGCAACAUUGACCAAUCAGGCGCCUGCCCGUGCGGACGCUCUGUAAAUUGACCAAUUGGACGCCGAUCAAGACCCACCUUUCCUCUGUUAGGUGGGCUUUAAAGUUUUGGUCACCAACCACAGGGCCGCGGACCGGAACCGUUCCGUGGGACAUUCGGUACUGGACAGAGGUAGCAAAAGUACUCCCAAGGAUACAGUUGAAUAAAGCCAAAGGUGUUAUUUAUAAAAAAAAAAAAAAAAAAAAGUGGUAAUCUGUACAA